RNAcentral lists this ribosomal RNA (505 nucleotides) under Priestia aryabhattai. Its description in RNAcentral is "bacterial SSU rRNA". It matches the Rfam family "Bacterial small subunit ribosomal RNA", at positions 23 to 509 of the family's 1533-position model. Lineage: Bacteria; Bacillati; Bacillota; Bacilli; Caryophanales; Bacillaceae. The record is from RNAcentral.
CUCAGGAUGAACGCUGGCGGCGUGCCUAAUACAUGCAAGUCGAGCGAACUGAUUAGAAGCUUGCUUCUAUGACGUUAGCGGCGGACGGGUGAGUAACACGUGGGCAACCUGCCUGUAAGACUGGGAUAACUUCGGGAAACCGAAGCUAAUACCGGAUAGGAUCUUCUCCUUCAUGGGAGAUGAUUGAAAGAUGGUUUCGGCUAUCACUUACAGAUGGGCCCGCGGUGCAUUAGCUAGUUGGUGAGGUAACGGCUCACCAAGGCAACGAUGCAUAGCCGACCUGAGAGGGUGAUCGGCCACACUGGGACUGAGACACGGCCCAGACUCCUACGGGAGGCAGCAGUAGGGAAUCUUCCGCAAUGGACGAAAGUCUGACGGAGCAACGCCGCGUGAGUGAUGAAGGCUUUCGGGUCGUAAAACUCUGUUGUUAGGGAAGAACAAGUACAAGAGUAACUGCUUGUACCUUGACGGUACCUAACCAGAAAGCCACGGCUAACUACGUGCC